UGCAAAUGAUGCUAGUUAUUUGCUAUCUAAAUACAUUUGAUGACAACCACCAAGAUCGCUGAUGCA
Small nucleolar RNA from Apteryx haastii (Great spotted kiwi), 66 nucleotides. Its record names the gene SNORD24. It matches the Rfam family "Small nucleolar RNA SNORD24". Rfam says of the family: U24 is a member of the C/D class of snoRNA which contain the C (UGAUGA) and D (CUGA) box motifs. The record is from Ensembl. NCBI's taxonomy places the organism in Eukaryota, Metazoa, Chordata, Aves, Apterygiformes, Apterygidae.